Molecule: long non-coding RNA, 1592 nt
Organism: Bombus terrestris (buff-tailed bumblebee)
Lineage: Eukaryota; Metazoa; Arthropoda; Insecta; Hymenoptera; Apidae
Exons: 3
Source: RefSeq, a predicted model, not a curated record
GGAAAGGGAGAAUCGUCGAUUCUCAUAGCUCGAUUCGCGGUAAACGCACAGUUGAUGUAAACAAGGGCUGGUAUAUACGUCCUACGUAGCUAUUUACGAUCCUGUUGACGCCUAAACACAUGAAAUAAUAUCGCGUGGUGCCAGUCAGCGACUGCUCCCCGUAUAAGAAUUAUCGUGGCGUUCGCAAAUAGACGCGUGUUACGUAUAAAUGCCAUGGCGGAGCAAGUUAGAAUAAAUUCGCUCGUGCGAAGUAAAUCAAAGAGAGUAUGGAUAAUAAACGAAAAGAUGAAAAGGGCUCGUUUCACGGAGUGCCUUCCGGACAAGAUGAAUUCGUUUCGGAGAGUACAGUGGACGCGAACAGAACUUAGUAUCGAGUUAGCGAAACGACGCAGGAUUAUAAUGCGAAUCUAAUGCGAAUGAUUCCAAGAUGUUCUCCUGGAUGCACGUGGAAGCAAGAGAAGAGACACGCAGGGAAUGGCGGUUGGCGAAACAUCCGAGUGUUUAUCACGCGACUGAAUGAUUACAACGAUGGAAGCGUCACGUUCGAAGAUUAGCAUUACGUGCGCCCUAACGAGGGAAGCUGAUUCAAGCCGGAAGAAUUCUACGUUGACUUUUAGUAUUAUAGAGUUGUUCUACUUUGCGAAUUUGAUUUAUAGAGAGACUAAAGCAAGAAUGGAGAAAAAGCGGUAAGAAAAAUGACACGGUCUCCGGUAUUUCACGCAUGUAGUUAUCUGCUACGACAUUUAAUCCCGGAUGUUUUCACGGAAUUUAUACAACAAAAAUAAAGUCGGAUUCUUUCGAAACGAAUCACGUGCAACGAUCUGCUGAUCGUUGAAUAUUUGACUUAUGUAGCACGUAGGUAGAAAUCUUUAGAAAUAUACUGGCAGCGAGCCUGUGACAUUUUUAAACAAUGUUCUAAGCUAUAACAACGAUGCUAAAUGAGGGAACCGAGUCAAGGAAAAGAUAUGUAAAGAUUACAUCAAGAAAAUUAUAUCGUUUACAGAUAUUUAAACAGGACGAUAAAAAUCUAGUCAGAACGAACAGAUCGUUAAAAUGCGAUCGUUUACCACUCUGUAUCCCACCAUUACUAGAAAAUUGAGAUAGAAACUUUCCAAAAUCAGAUACGAAAGAUCUCCUAUCAUUCUUAAACAACGUACCACGUUACUAAAUACAUUGCAAUGCUGCUAGUAACUGAAAAAUAAAUAAAGAACGAUUGGUGAAUCGAAAUCUCACAAGAUCAAUCAAAUUGGAGCAACCCAUCCCCGUAUUUACAAACCUAUAUCAAUGACACCAACCCUAUUCUAUCUCACCCUUCAAUUCAACCAUCCGGCGAUUGAAAUCAGAGAGCCAACGAGCGCAUCGAACGCGUCGUUGAUCGCGUAGCCACGUGAAAUUUGCCCCUCGUAAAUUUCAACCUGUUUCACAUCGUACAGAAUUUACUAUAACAUCGAUCCGUCUGCCUGGUUCGUGUUCUCCGGCGUUUGUGCUCCUAGGAUGACUAAAACCCAAUGAACGCGAGCAGUCCGAUAAGAAACGUCGACGUGACGUUCCCGGUAACUGUUCCAAUUUGGGCCCGAGCGAGACAGUAAGAA